GUGAGGAAUAUUGCGCAAUGGAGGCAACUCUGACGCAGCCAUGCCGCGUGCAGGAAGAAGGCGCUACGCGUUGUAAACUGCUUUUAACCGGGAAGAAACCCCAGGACGUGUCCUGGGUUGACGGUACCGGAGGAAUAAGCACCGGCUAACUUCGUGCCAGCAGCCGCGGUAAUACGAAGGGUGCAAGCGUUAUCCGGAUUCAUUGGGUUUAAAGGGUGCGUAGGCGGAGCGUUAAGUCAUUGGUGAAAUCCUGCAGCUUAACUGUAGACUUGCCAUUGAUACUGGCGCUCUUGAGUGCGCUUGAAGUGGGCGGAAUGUGCCGUGUAGCGGUGAAAUGCUUAGAUAUGGCACAGAACACCAAUUGCGAAGGCAGCUCACUAAGGCGAUACUGACGCUGAGGCACGAAAGCGUGGGGAUCGAACAGGAUUAGAUACCCCAGUAGUCC
This 445-nucleotide ribosomal RNA is filed under the name uncultured bacterium. Its description in RNAcentral is "bacterial SSU rRNA". It matches the Rfam family "Bacterial small subunit ribosomal RNA", at positions 354 to 796 of the family's 1533-position model. The record is from RNAcentral.